RNAcentral lists this ribosomal RNA (279 nucleotides) under uncultured bacterium. RNAcentral describes it as "partial 16S ribosomal RNA". It matches the Rfam family "Bacterial small subunit ribosomal RNA", at positions 506 to 784 of the family's 1533-position model. The record is from RNAcentral.
UGCCAGCAGCCGCGGUAAUACGGAGGGUGCGAACGUUGCUCGGAAUCAUUGGGCGUAAAGCGCACGUAGGCGGCCUAGCAAGUUGGAUGUGAAAGCCCGGAGCUCAACUCCGGAAGUGCAUCCAAAACUGUUGGGCUCGAGUGCCGAAGGGGGCCAGAGAAUUCCCGGUGUAGAGGUGAAAUUCGUAGAUAUCGGGAGGAAUACCAGUGGCGAAGGCGCUGGUCUGGUCGGAUACUGACGCUGAGGUGCGAUAGCGUGGGGAGCAAACAGGAUUAGAUA